AUAAAUAAAUAAAUAAAUUACGAGGGAAAAACAUCUGAUGCAUUUGGCCUUGUAAAGAGGAAAUGUAUUGAUCGGGAGGGCAGUUUAAAGAUGGUGGUAGUAAUGGUGUCAGGUAAAGAAGAGAGUUAUUUUUCCACCUUU
Molecule: long non-coding RNA, 141 nt
Organism: Etheostoma spectabile (orangethroat darter)
Lineage: Eukaryota; Metazoa; Chordata; Actinopteri; Perciformes; Percidae
Exons: 3
Source: RefSeq, a predicted model, not a curated record